ACCCUUCGUGAACCUCCUGAAGGUAUUUCAAGAUCCAUUAAAGGCCAGGACCUGAGAAGGUGGUCCUCGAAGGAGGUGAGUUGGGGAGGAAGAAGGGAAGAUGAGCCGAGUGGAGGGGAUUUCGUGGGGGCGAAACAAAAGCGCGCCUGGUCCGGUUCAGGAGUCAACCAGAGUGAUUUCAAACCUGCUCGACCGCCGAGAGUUUGAAGGCUUGGAGCGUUUCCGCCGCCUACUGGACAGAAGGAGAACUGCAGCCUUUUUCUCACGGAGAGAAAAGUUGGGGAGAAAAGUUCCUUUCGGGGUCCGGGAGAGGUGGGGGGUCGGCGGCCAACAACGGGGAGAAGGGAUUGGAGCUCCUUGCCAAAAACCUGCCCAUUGUGGUCUCAUCUGCGGAGGUUGGAAGAAAUAGUGGAAAAAGAAAAGAAGAUGUUACUGUGUGAAGCACAUUUAAAAUUCAGCGAAUGAAGCAGACUGAUGGUGUACAAGGGUUGAAUGAAAAGUAAUGCCUCCACCUUCGUAACUCCUCAACAGAUGGCAGUACUGGUAUGCGGCAGGUACUGGCUUGUUCAGUAGA
This is a non-coding RNA of Anolis sagrei ordinatus, 574 nucleotides long. Lineage: Eukaryota; Metazoa; Chordata; Lepidosauria; Squamata; Anolidae. The record is from RefSeq and is a predicted model, not a curated record.